This 376-nucleotide long non-coding RNA is filed under the name Sinocyclocheilus grahami. RNAcentral's name for it is "lncRNA (ENSSGRG00000012872.1)". The record is from RNAcentral. Lineage: Eukaryota; Metazoa; Chordata; Actinopteri; Cypriniformes; Cyprinidae.
CUGCUACAGCUGACCACCACACUUUUCACAGGCGCCUUCUAAAGGGUGAUCAAGGUCAGGCUGGGCCCCCAGGACCUCCAGGAACACCUGGUCCCAGAGGGCCUCCAGGAAACACAGGCAGAGAUGGGCCGCAGGGCCACCCAGGAGAACCAGUGAGACGCUCUCUUUCUAUCUCACAUGGUCUCGUGUGCCUGUGUCUGUACUGAGCUCACUCAUUCUACAGCUGUUGUGACUCAUAUAUGAGUCACACUGUGCUGAAGACUCUUCUCAGAAGACCAGGUGCAGCUUCUCACUGAGCUGAACCCUGUGUUCAGCUCAAUGUUGGGUUCAGACAUACUGCAUUUGCUUCUACAUUUGCGUUCUUGACAGAUGCUCC